GCGCGGGUGGCGGAAUGGUAUACGCGCACGUUCGAGGGGCGUGUGGAGUAAUCCGUGUGGGUUCAAGUCCCACCCCGCGCACCA
Molecule: transfer RNA, 84 nt
Filed under: Candidatus Aceula lacicola
Lineage: Bacteria; Pseudomonadati; Candidatus Omnitrophota
Description: tRNA-Leu
Rfam family: tRNA
About the family: Transfer RNA (tRNA) molecules are approximately 80 nucleotides in length. Their secondary structure includes four short double-helical elements and three loops (D, anti-codon, and T loops). Further hydrogen bonds mediate the characteristic L-shaped molecular structure. tRNAs have two regions of fundamental functional importance: the anti-codon, which is responsible for specific mRNA codon recognition, and the 3' end, to which the tRNAs corresponding amino acid is attached (by aminoacyl-tRNA synthetases). tRNAs cope with the degeneracy of the genetic code in two manners: having more than one tRNA (with a specific anti-codon) for a particular amino acid; and 'wobble' base-pairing, i.e. permitting non-standard base-pairing at the 3rd anti-codon position.
Source: RNAcentral